This is a long non-coding RNA of Nymphaea colorata (pocket water lily), 1742 nucleotides long. RefSeq lists it as uncharacterized. The record is from RefSeq and is a predicted model, not a curated record. The transcript is spliced from 6 exons. NCBI's taxonomy places the organism in Eukaryota, Viridiplantae, Streptophyta, Magnoliopsida, Nymphaeales, Nymphaeaceae.
UUCUCCUUCCCGGAACUCGGAAGUCCACCUUUCGUCGAAUCUGCCUCCCCCAAUCUUGCUUUUGUUUUUCUUUCCACUAGUUAUGUACAUGAGAGCCGUUGACAAACUCUUAAAUUAAAUGGAUUCAGCCAGGCUGUUCUUUUUAUUGAAUCAAGGGAAUUCAGUGAUUCAUGGAUUGAAUUACUUGUGAGUCCACCACAACAGUCAUCGUAUACAGAAACCCAUAAAACAUGUGUAAGAGUUAGCAUGAUUAUAAAGCGUUAGUGUUUAGAGUUUCCAACCCAUUGUUCUACCGUUCGCAUUUCCUAUCUGCAUUAGGAACCGUUCGCAUUUCCUAUCUGCAUUAGGAACCCUAAACCCCUUCUCCCGCGAAAACCAAAAACUCGCUCUCUCGCGAAGCUUCCCUUGCCGUUGACAUUUUUUAUUUGUCGCCGGCGUUUCACUCUCGUGAAGCUCCCCCCUCGCCCUCAGCAUUUUUUGAUUUGUUGUUGCCGGCGUUUCACUUCCACAAGCUCCUUUCACAUUUUUUAUUUGUCGCCGGCGUUUCACUCUCGUGAAGCUCCCCCCUCGCCCUCAGCAUUUUUUGAUUUGUUGUUGCCGGCGUUUCACUUCCACAAGCUCCCUUCACCAUCGCCCUCGACAUUCUUUUCCUUCAACCACUGUUCUUUCUAUUCACCUUCGCAUUCUUCUGGCUGUCGUGCUUCGUGAAAAGGAGCGGAGGAGUUCUCAAACGAUGUUUAAAAUAAUUUCGCAGUGAAGCUGUCCUGCUCCUCUGUACCGGACAAGCCUUUCGGCGUCUGCUUUGUGAUCGACUGAUUGUGUGUGCCGUUUGGGAAGAUCAAAAAGUGAAUCCUCCUGCUGGUUAUGUGUCAUAACCAAUCCACACUCUUGUUAAACUUUUAGCAAGACAUAUUGGCAAUUCAAUUGAGACUGUGUCAAAGGUGAUGCAGAGGCCAUUCUGUAUGGAUCCCCCAAAACCUAGAGUAUGGUGUCAUUGACAAGGCGAUCAGCUACACACUUCACCUCCUAAAGUAGAAGAUUUCUUGGGUAGUGCAUCCAUGGGAGGACAUCAGUAUGGAGGUGAAAACCAGGCCAUGGCUCUUAGGCUAGACAGCAUGUAUUACCAACAAAUGUUGGCAUCCAACACUAGCUAGCUUUUCAGCCGCUGCAGCAACAUGGCAGUUGCUUGAUGACAAACCACGAGUUUUUCCUCUCAUCAUUGGGUGAUGCCUUUUCCUUAUCAGAUGGCUUAGCUGCCACUUCACAGUUACCGUAGCAUCUUGGAGCAGGAACAAUAACAAGCUAGUCAACGCACCUGGCCUUAGGUUCAAUUUCAAUUGGCAUUAAAUUACUCUGUUAAAUAUUUGCUUGAGGACAGUAAGAUGGUCUGUUCGAGUGUAGGUCUUAACUAGGAUGACAUCAACGUAUGCAUCCAUGAAUUUAUACAUUUUUUCAUGAAAGAUUGUUGAUAUUGCUCGUUGAUAUGUAGCCCCGACAUUUUUUAGUUCAAAGGGUAUUGCUGUAUAGCAGAAGGUUUCCCAGGGGGUUGUGAAUGAAGUUUUUUUUUUAUCUUUGACUGUCAACUUGAUCUGGUUAUAUCAUAUAGGAUGGGGCCAUAUGUGAUCAGAGAAAUUUUUCUUGGGAAUUCUUACCUCCUAAUCGAUGUGGACAGGGUAGAAUUACUUGAUCCUGUCAAAGCACUUCAUCUCAAAAAUUUCUAUGCUUGAUGUACUCAUUUUCCU